Bombus impatiens (common eastern bumble bee) is the source of this 180-nucleotide long non-coding RNA. RefSeq lists it as uncharacterized. The transcript has 3 exons. NCBI's taxonomy places the organism in Eukaryota, Metazoa, Arthropoda, Insecta, Hymenoptera, Apidae. The record is from RefSeq and is a predicted model, not a curated record.
UUACUUUCUUCACGGAAAAAUUGCUACCUAUCGUUGCAUUGUGCGAGAAAAAAGCAACCGAACCUGUAGGCGGGAAAACUUACGAAUUUCUCGUUUGCCAAGUCUGGGCUAUUUUACCAAGUAUAUGCAACAACGCUACCGAUGUGAAAGAUAAUUUCAAGAAUAUAGCUAAACUGUUAG